AAGACCUUGCGCUUUUGGAGCGGCCGAUGCCUGAUUAGCUUGUUGGUAAGGUAAAAGCUUACCAAGGCUUCGAUCAGUAGCUGGUCUGCGAGGACGGCCAGCCACACUGGGACUGAGACACGGCCCAGACUCCUACGGGAGGCAGCAGUGGGGAAUUUUGGACAAUGGGGGCAACCCUGAUCCAGCCAUGCCGCGUGAGUGAAGAAGGCCUUCGGGUUGUAAAGCUCUUUCAGCCGGAACGAAACGGUUACGGUUAAUACCCGUGACUACUGACGGUACCGGAAGAAGAAGCACCGGCUAACUACGUGCCAGCAGCCGCGGUAAUACGUAGGGUGCGAGCGUUAAUCGGAAUUACUGGGCGUAAAGCGUGCGCAGGUGGUUUUGUAAGUCAGAUGUGAAAGCCCCGGGCUCAACCUGGGAACU
This 423-nucleotide ribosomal RNA is filed under the name uncultured bacterium. RNAcentral's name for it is "bacterial SSU rRNA". It matches the Rfam family "Bacterial small subunit ribosomal RNA", at positions 207 to 622 of the family's 1533-position model. The record is from RNAcentral.